GCCAGGUGAAGUGGCACACAUCUGUAAUCCCAGCAACUUGGGAGACUGAGACAGGAGGAUUGCAAGUUUGAGGCCAGUCUCAGCAAGUGAGUGAGACCUCAACAACUUAGUGAGAUCCUGUCUCUA
Molecule: small RNA, 126 nt
Filed under: Marmota monax (woodchuck)
Lineage: Eukaryota; Metazoa; Chordata; Mammalia; Rodentia; Sciuridae
Source: RNAcentral